CUCAUGCAACUUGUGCUUCGGCAAUGGAGGAUGCAGUCUAUGUGUUUGAUGGUUUGCCUCUGCAGCACCGACCAAUUAACCAUGCUAGAUUUAGCUAACAGGGACUCCUAUUUGACGGAAAAAAAGACACAUUCAGGCUACUUGCCUUGUCUAAGAUAAUGUUUCUAGGUCGGAUAUGAUUUUUAUUUUUUAAGCAAUAAUUUAAGCAAGUUAAAUGUACCUGGGAUAUGAUGCUCCUUUGUUGGUCUCACAUAAAAAAAAUCCGACAAAAUAACACGUUUGCAUUAAUAAAAUAACAACCGUUGUUUAUCCUUCGCAAUUAAGCUCAUCAUAUGUUUUUUGUGGCAAGAUCUUACCUGAUGUAACCAUACUUUAUUUCAUAUAUAGAGAUAGAGAUUUUUCUAGCCAAGAUUUAUACCACCAGCUGUAGCUGAGGAGGGCUCGUGCUUAUAAAGAUUGGUAUUUGCACAUUCGGGUAUCUUUUAGACAAUUGGUUCAAUGGAACUAUGCAAAACUCACCACAGUAAGGGAUGUAUUUUUCAUUUCAACAAAAGUAUUUCACAUUGUUUUUCCCAAAUGCGUAAUUAUGGCGGAAGAUAAGGGAAAAGAGAGGUUGUUGAUAAGCUCCUUCAGUUUGUAGGAAAUCAAUAUUUAUGUAAACCUUUAUUAGCUAUUCACACAAUUGAUUUAACUAUCCACUCUGAUUUUGACUUGCUUACUUACAUUUAUUUUCUUAGUCCUUGUUUCAUGGCCAGGGAGAUACUAUUUGUGGUACUGAUUAAAAGUAGAAAGUUUCUUCUUUUGCUAAGCUUAUUGUGAUAUGGUGAAAUGUUCCAUUUGCAUAAUGGAACAGAACAUACUUGAGAUGGCUAAGCUUGUUUAUGAACCUCAAAGUUCAGAAUUACAAAUCUAUUGUCUACGGCAAAAUUACAGAUAGGUUCAUAAUCUUCAGUCUUGAGCUCCCUACCAACAUCUAAUUAUGAAAUUUUUAUACGUCAAAAAGAUAUGAAUAUUUCAAUAUUCUGGAGUCUGAAUUUACAAACUUUUCUGUACACUACUUCCAUGAAUAAUGCACAUUAGGAUUAUAUAAAUUUUGCAGGCUACCAGUACACAUCUUCGGUGUGAUCAGUGCAACAAUGCUUGCUCUUCUGCUUGUUAGGUGAUGUCCUAUCGCUUGUGUGCCCUCCCAAAUCAUAAUUUCAAUUUUCUUAUCUGUCAAUGUUGUUAAUUAAUUACUUCAAUAUGCAUCAGCAAACCAUCGCUCUGAAUUGAUUUAGUGAAGUUAAGUGGCCACAUGCUCUUAAUCUUUGUAGCCAACUAUAGCUUUUAGUAAGGUAUGUGCACUGUACACACUAUACAAACCUUGUGCCACUACUUCCGUUCUACCAAUUACCAUGUAGCUUACCUUUUUAGAUCUGUAAAUUACUGCAGAAACUAGCCGACGAUCCUCACUGUAAAUAGAAUGACAGAAUGAUAGACCUCUUCAUGUUACCAGCACAUUUGCGUUUUGCUUUUCAGUGCUUUUCAGAAGACCAUAUAUGUAUCACUUUGUGGCUAUAUAUUUGCAUUGUAAAUAAACCACUGUUAUCAUCAGGAACAAUGAGCCAUUUAUUAGGCAACACUCAACAUUGUUUGAACGCAGAGAAAAGAGGACAAGCCGCCCAAUGGGUGUCAGCCAUGCCCAGUCAGCUUUAGUUGUCCUGCCUACCUCCUACCACCUGCAUAUAGACGUACCACCACCCAUCCAUCUGAAAUCUUUUUUCAGCCUCCUGUCUCUGC
Molecule: long non-coding RNA, 1779 nt
Organism: Panicum virgatum (switchgrass)
Lineage: Eukaryota; Viridiplantae; Streptophyta; Magnoliopsida; Poales; Poaceae
Exons: 3
Source: RefSeq, a predicted model, not a curated record